RNAcentral lists this ribosomal RNA (497 nucleotides) under uncultured bacterium. RNAcentral's name for it is "partial 16S ribosomal RNA". It matches the Rfam family "Bacterial small subunit ribosomal RNA", at positions 28 to 507 of the family's 1533-position model. The record is from RNAcentral.
GAUGAACGCUGGCGGCGUGCCUAAUACAUGCAAGUCGAGCGAACGGACGAGAAGCUUGCUUCUCUGAUGUUAGCGGCGGACGGGUGAGUAACACGUGGAUAGCCUACCUAUAAGACUGGGAUAACUUCGGGAAACCGGAGCUAAUACCGGAUAAUAUUUUGAACCGCAUGGUUCAAAAGUGAAAGACGGUCUUGCUGUCACUUAUAGAUGGAUCCGCGCUGCAUUAGCUAGUUGGUAAGGUAACGGCUUACCAAGGCAACGAUGCAUAGCCGACCUGAGAGGGUGAUCGGCCACACUGGAACUAAGACACGGUCCAGACUCCUACGGGAGGCAGCAGUAGGGAAUCUUCCGCAAUGGGCGAAAGCCUGACGGAGCAACGCCGCGUGAGUGAUGAAGGUCUUCGGAUCGUAAAACUCUGUUAUUAGGGAAGAACAUAUGUGUAAGUAACUGUGCACAUCUUGACGGUACCUAAUCAGAAAGCCACGGCUAACUACGUG